RNAcentral lists this ribosomal RNA (561 nucleotides) under uncultured Burkholderia sp. RNAcentral's name for it is "bacterial SSU rRNA". It matches the Rfam family "Bacterial small subunit ribosomal RNA", at positions 8 to 564 of the family's 1533-position model. Lineage: Bacteria; Pseudomonadati; Pseudomonadota; Betaproteobacteria; Burkholderiales; Burkholderiaceae. The record is from RNAcentral.
AGAGUUUGAUCCUGGCUCAGAUUGAACGCUGGCGGCAUGCCUUACACAUGCAAGUCGAGCGGCAGCGCGGGGGCAACCCUGGCGGUGAGCGGCGAACGGGUGAGUAAUGCAUCGGAACGUGUCCUCUUGUGGGGGAUAACCAGUCGAAAGAUUGGCUAAUACCGCAUGAGCUCGAGAGAGGAAAGCAGGGGACCGCAAGGCCUUGCGCGAGAGGAGCGGCCGAUGCCGGAUUAGCUAGUUGGUGGGGUAACGGCCUACCAAGGCGACGAUCCGUAGCUGGUCUGAGAGGACGACCAGCCACACUGGGACUGAGACACGGCCCAGACUCCUACGGGAGGCAGCAGUGGGGAAUUUUGGACAAUGGGGGCAACCCUGAUCCAGCCAUGCCGCGUGUGUGAAGAAGGCCUUCGGGUUGUAAAGCACUUUUGUUCGGGAAGAAAAGCAUUCGGUUAAUACCCGGGUGUCAUGACGGUACCGAAAGAAUAAGCACCGGCUAACUUCGUGCCAGCAGCCGCGGUAAUACGAAGGGUGCAAGCGUUACUCGGAAUUACUGGGCGCAAA